RNAcentral lists this ribosomal RNA (434 nucleotides) under uncultured bacterium. RNAcentral's name for it is "partial 16S ribosomal RNA". It matches the Rfam family "Bacterial small subunit ribosomal RNA", at positions 29 to 507 of the family's 1533-position model. The record is from RNAcentral.
AGCGAACGCUGGCGGCAGGCCUAACACAUGCAAGUCGAACGAACCUUUCGGGGUUAGUGGCGGACGGGUGAGGAACACGUGGGAACGUGCCUUUAGGUUCGGAAUAACUCAGGGAAACUUGUGCUAAUACCGAAUGUGCCCUUCGGGGGAAAGAUUAAUCGCCUUUAGAGCGGCCCGCGUCUGAUUAGCUAGUUGGUUGAGGUAAUGGCUCACCAAGGCGACGAUCAGUAGCUGGUCUGAGAGGAUGCUCAGCCACAUUGGGACUGAGACACGGCCCAAACUCCUACGGGAGGCAGCAGUGGGGAAUCUUGCGCAAUGGGCGAAAGCCUGACGCAGCCAUGCCGCGUGAAUGAUGAAGGUCUUAGGAUUGUAAAAUUCUUUCACCGGGGACGAUAAUGACGGUACCCGGAGAAGAAGCCCCGGCUAACUUCGUG